UGUAACACACCACGUCUAAAGCCACCUCCCCUCCACCCAGGCACUGGAAAACCACCCAGGUGCUCUUCCUCUUUGUGGUGCUCAUUUUUGGGUGCUGGCGCCCCAAAUCCUCUCUGUUUCUGGACAUCCAUGGACAUAUUUUGGAUCCUUCAUCUCACCAUGCUCAUCGUCCUCCACCAAACCAGGGCACUGGAUCUUCAUCACUCUUCUCUCCUUCUCUGCUCAAGCUUCUCAUGGGAUCACAGCUGCUUUAACAUCUGCUUGCUUUGGCAUGGAGGCUUCUGCUCGAUAUCUGCAAUUUGAGCGCUUUUGCCUCCCUAUUCCUUCACGCGUUGCAGGGGAAAAAGAGCCUUUCUCCAUAGCUUACAAGAGGAUUUCAGCCCAAAACUAAAGGCAUGUACGAGACGAGCACCGUAAGAGGCGAGCCCAUCAUGGCAGCUCCAGCCAGUGAGAGGUGAGAGAACUGAGGAGAAUCCCCCAAAACCUGCAGCCAACCCCUCUCCAUCCCCUCUUUUGUAGUGAGUCCAGAGUUUCAAGGUUCCCUUCCCUG
This is a long non-coding RNA of Melozone crissalis (California towhee), 550 nucleotides long. RefSeq lists it as uncharacterized. The transcript has 3 exons. The record is from RefSeq and is a predicted model, not a curated record. Lineage: Eukaryota; Metazoa; Chordata; Aves; Passeriformes; Passerellidae.